Molecule: long non-coding RNA, 632 nt
Filed under: Trifolium pratense (red clover)
Lineage: Eukaryota; Viridiplantae; Streptophyta; Magnoliopsida; Fabales; Fabaceae
Description: long non-coding RNA (TPRA_LNC005687)
Source: RNAcentral
CCAAAACACCAAAACAAACAAGGGACUUAACUAUUCUUUGAUAAGACACUAACAAGGUCAUAAAAAUGGGCAGUGGAGUCAAUGAAACUAAACAAGACAUAAUUAAGUUGCUCCACAAUGAGAUUGUAUCAAAUUCAAAACAAUCUCCUAUUCCUAGUUAUUAUUGUCAAACGACUUAUUGCAGCUAUAGUGAGAAAGAGUUUCAAACAAUUGCCGACGAAAACCGCAACAAACUAAAGAAACACCCAUAAUCAAUGAUGGUGAACUUGGGAUUUAUAUUGAUUUAGCCAUUUUUUCAUGCUGAAAUUUCUUGCAGAUUAAAUGCUGCAAUAAAUUAUCCAUCAUUUCCUGAAGAGGGCUGCUAGCACGGAUAUAUCUCAGAAAGGGGCUGUAAAUUUUGUAGGAUACAACUUUAUUCUUUUCCUGAAUGUAUGCUGUAACUUAUUUAUUAGAUAAAUUUAACUUAGAACUGAUAGGUAAAAAGUUGUACUAAAAAUGCUAACUUAAUGGAAUAGAAAUAUAAUAAAUUAUGUAACCAAAAAAAAAUAUAUAAUAAAUUACAAGGCACAAGACUUGAUUGCUGUAUUACUAAAUUACAAUAUAUAGUUUUUUAGAUUAAUUAUUAUUUACAA